This 465-nucleotide ribosomal RNA is filed under the name Vreelandella stevensii. RNAcentral's name for it is "partial 16S ribosomal RNA". It matches the Rfam family "Bacterial small subunit ribosomal RNA", at positions 338 to 795 of the family's 1533-position model. Lineage: Bacteria; Pseudomonadati; Pseudomonadota; Gammaproteobacteria; Oceanospirillales; Halomonadaceae. The record is from RNAcentral.
CCUACGGGGGGCAGCAGUGGGGAAUAUUGGACAAUGGGGGCAACCCUGAUCCAGCCAUGCCGCGUGUGUGAAGAAGGCCCUCGGGUUGUAAAGCACUUUCAGUGAGGAAGAACGCCUGGUGGUUAAUACCCAUCAGGAAAGACAUCACUCACAGUAGAAGCACCGGCUAACUCCGUGCCAGCAGCCGCGGUAAUACGGAGGGUGCGAGCGUUAAUCGGAAUUACUGGGCGUAAAGCGCGCGUAGGUGGCUUGAUAAGCCGGUUGUGAAAGCCCCGGGCUCAACCUGGGAACGGCAUCCGGAACUGUCAAGCUAGAGUGCAGGAGAGGAAGGUAGAAUUCCCGGUGUAGCGGUGAAAUGCGUAGAGAUCGGGAGGAAUACCAGUGGCGAAGGCGGCCUUCUGGACUGACACUGACACUGAGGUGCGAAAGCGUGGGUAGCAAACAGGAUUAGAUACCCCAGUAGUC